GGGUAGGGGAGCGUUCUGUAAGCCUGCGAAGGUGUGCUGUGAGGCAUGCUGGAGGUAUCAGAAGUGCGAAUGCUGACAUAAGUAACGAUAAAGCGGGUGAAAAGCCCGCUCGCCGGAAGACCAAGGGUUCCUGUCCAACGUUAAUCGGGGCAGGGUGAGUCGACCCCUAAGGCGAGGCCGAAAGGCGUAGUCGAUGGGAAACAGGUUAAUAUUCCUGUACUUGGUGUUACUGCGAAGGGGGGACGGAGAAGGCUAUGUUGGCCGGGCGACGGUUGUCCCGGUUUAAGCGUGUAGGCUGGUUUUCCAGGCAAAUCCGGAAAAUCAAGGCUGAGGCGUGAUGACGAGGCACUACGGUGCUGAAGCAACAAAUGCCCUGCUUCCAGGAAAAGCCUCUAAGCAUCAGGUAACAUCAAAUCGUACCCCAAACCGACACAGGUGGUCAGGUAGAGAAUACCAAGGCGCUUGAGAGAACUCGGGUGAAGGAACUAGGCAAAAUGGUGCCGUAACUUCGGGAGAAGGCACGCUGAUAUGUAGGUGAAGUCCCUCGCGG
This 550-nucleotide ribosomal RNA is filed under the name Escherichia coli. RNAcentral's name for it is "bacterial LSU rRNA". It matches the Rfam family "Bacterial large subunit ribosomal RNA", at positions 1226 to 1776 of the family's 2925-position model. The record is from RNAcentral. Lineage: Bacteria; Pseudomonadati; Pseudomonadota; Gammaproteobacteria; Enterobacterales; Enterobacteriaceae.